This 723-nucleotide long non-coding RNA is filed under the name Chelonoidis abingdonii (Abingdon island giant tortoise). Its description in RNAcentral is "lncRNA (ENSCABG00000004056.1)". Lineage: Eukaryota; Metazoa; Chordata; Testudines; Testudinidae. The record is from RNAcentral.
UCUCUCCCCACAGUGGAAGGUGGGUGAUGCCUGCUGCGCUGUCUGGUCCAGAGACAGGCUGCUCUACCCGGCUCGCAUCGUCUCCCUGAGCAAGGAGGGGGACACCUGUGUGGUGGAGUAUGAGCACUACGGCAAUCGGGAGGAACAGAGGCUGCGGGACCUGUUCCCCCCCGACAGGAGCCCAGACGACUUGCUGGAGCCCCAGAGAAUGUGGAAGGCGGGCGACGCCUGCAGCGCCAUCUGGUCGGAGGACGGGCUGCUCUACCCAGCCAUUGUGCGAUUGGUGGAUGCCGUGGCGGGGACGUGCCUGGUGGAGUUUGUCGGCUACGGGAACAAGGAACAGCAGGCGCUGGAGGAGCUGCUACCUCCGUGUGGGGCCGUGGAUGGGGACCUGAGGAGCUGGAGGGCUGAAGUGGAUGCCCCUGGAGUGCCCAGGGGACGCAGCCCCAGCUUCCCCCAGGAGCCACCCCGCAGCUGGAGGAGGCAGAACACGAAAGGGGAGUGGACACAUUACUUCCCCCCGCCGCCCAAGAGCGGCUCAUGGUGGCCCGGUCCCUUGCUGCCCUUCGGCCCCCCGCCCCGCAGGUCCGGCUGCCCCCCGGUGAGUGUACCCGCUCCUCCUCGAGCACCCAUUUCUAUGGCAAACAGAGCCACCGCGAAUCCUGCCCUGCGGGAAAGGGCCCUGGCUGUUGAUCUUCCGGGCUGGGGGAGGGGGCAAACCAG